Molecule: ribosomal RNA, 465 nt
Filed under: uncultured Klebsiella sp.
Lineage: Bacteria; Pseudomonadati; Pseudomonadota; Gammaproteobacteria; Enterobacterales; Enterobacteriaceae
Description: bacterial SSU rRNA
Rfam family: Bacterial small subunit ribosomal RNA
Source: RNAcentral
CCUACGGGUGGCUGCAGUGGGGAAUAUUGCACAAUGGGCGCAAGCCUGAUGCAGCCAUGCCGCGUGUGUGAAGAAGGCCUUCGGGUUGUAAAGCACUUUCAGCGGGGAGGAGGGCGUUAAGGUUAAUAACCUUGUCGAUUGACGUUACCCGCAGAAGAAGCACCGGCUAACUCCGUGCCAGCAGCCGCGGUAAUACGGAGGGUGCAAGCGUUAAUCGGAAUUACUGGGCGUAAAGCGCACGCAGGCGGUCUGUCAAGUCGGAUGUGAAAUCCCCGGGCUCAACCUGGGAACUGCAUUCGAAACUGGCAGGCUAGAGUCUUGUAGAGGGGAGUGGAAUUCCAGGUGUAGCGGUGAAAUGCGUAGAGAUCUGGAGGAAUACCGGUGGCGAAGGCGGCCCCCUGGACAAAGACUGACGCUCAGGUGCGAAAGCGUGGGGAGCGAACAGGAUUAGAUACCCCUGUAGUC